RNAcentral lists this ribosomal RNA (450 nucleotides) under uncultured bacterium. RNAcentral's name for it is "partial 16S ribosomal RNA". It matches the Rfam family "Bacterial small subunit ribosomal RNA", at positions 354 to 796 of the family's 1533-position model. The record is from RNAcentral.
GUGGGGAAUAUUGCACAAUGGGCGCAAGCCUGAUGCAGCCAUGCCGCGUGUGUGAAGAAGGCCUUCGGGUUGUAAAGCACUUUCAGCGGGGAGGAAGGCGUUAAGGUUAAUAACCUUGGCGAUUGACGUUACCCGCAGAAGAAGCACCGGCUAACUCCGUGCCAGCAGCCGCGGUAAUACGGAGGGUGCAAGCGUUAAUCGGAAUUACUGGGCGUACAGCGCACGCAGGCGGUCUGUCAAGUCGGAUGUGAAAUCCCCGGGCUCAACCUGGGAACUGCAUUCGAAACUGGCAGGCUAGAGUCUUGUAGAGGGGGGUAGAAUUCCAGGUGUAGCGGUGAAAUGCGUAGAGAUCUGGAGGAAUACCGGUGGCGAAGGCGGCCCCCUGGACAAAGACUGACGCUCAGGUGCGAAAGCGUGGGGAGCAAACAGGAUUAGAAACCCGGGUAGUCC